GACCUUGAUGCGGAUUUCCCAGGUUUACUGACUGGAAAAAGCCUCUUCCAGAGCCAUCAGAGGCAAACCUCAAUAACUGCUGAGCCUAUGCUCCAUGUAGUGAGGAAGAUCGUGAGAUGUUCCGUCGGGGCUGCAGAGCGUGGCGGCUGCAUCAGAAAGUGAAAACACAGACGUCCGGCUGCCACAGACCCGUGUGGCGUGUUGAAACACAGCCGCGACCGUUAACAACAACCAGAUAUAGGACAGUUUAACAGACAGACUGCAGCACUGGCAUCUUUGCCUGUCCACACCCUGCCCCUGUCCUGUGCCAUGCCUUUGGAUUGAAGUUCACCCCUGUACCCUGCCAUCCUCGCCACAGACUCGCAGCAGGUGCAUCAUGGUGGAUGUAACCAAAUGGCCCCUUUUCAGCCUGAUGAGUCCCCAGGAGCUCUCCACAAUACGGAAAGCGUGUGUGUUUGGAAUGUCUGCCAAUGAGGCCAUCUACAUCACCAAUGAUGAUGAGGUGUACGUUUUUGGGCUGAACUGCAGUAACUGCCUGGGAACAGGGGACAGCCAGAGCACCAUAGUGCCCAAGAAGGUGGACUUCCUGAGUGGGAGGAAAGUGGUCAGCCUGAGCUACGGCAGCGGACCCCACAUCCUCCUGGCCACAGAGGAUGGAGAGCUAUUUGCCUGGGGCCAUAAUGGUUACAGCCAACUGGGAAAUGGGACAACCAACCAAGGAGUAGCUCCAGUGCUCGUGUCUGCCAGCCUGCUCAAUAAGAAGGUCACAGAGGUGGCCUGUGGCUCUCACCACUCAAUGGCGCUGACUGACUCAGGAGAAGUUUAUGCAUGGGGCUACAACAACUGUGGUCAGGUGGGUUCAGGCUCCACAGCGAACCAGCCCACACCCCGCAGAGUGUCCAGCUGCCUGCAGAACAAAGUGGCUGUCAGUAUCGUCUGUGGUCAGACCUCGUCUCUGGCUGUAGUGGACAAUGGAGAGGUGUACGGCUGGGGCUACAAUGGGAAUGGCCAACUUGGACUUGGAAAUAAUGGGAACCAGCUCACUCCCUGUCGCCUUGUAGCUCUACAGGGCUUAUGUGUCCAACAGAUCGUGGCAGGCUAUGCCCACUCCCUGGCACUAACAGACGAGGGCUUGCUUUAUGCUUGGGGUGCCAACACAUAUGGACAACUUGGCACUGGCAACAAGAGCAACCAGCUGAGCCCAGUUCAGAUCAUGACUGAGAAAGACAGGAUUGUGGAAAUUGCUGCCUGUCACUCCACACACACCUCAGCUGCUAAGACUCAGAGUGGUCAGGUGUACAUGUGGGGCCAGUGCAGGGGCCAGUCUAUAGUACUGCCUCACCUCACACACUUCACCUGCACAGAUGAUGUCUUUGCAUGCUUCGCCACCCCCUCAGUUAUGUGGAGGCUUCUUUUCGUGGAGCACGAUGACUUCUUGACCGUGGCUCAGUCUCUGAAGAAAGAGUUUGACAACCCAGAGACGGCUGACCUCAAAUUCUGCGUUGAUGGCAAAUAUAUCUACGUCCACAAAGCAGUUCUCAAAAUCAGGUGUGAACACUUCCGAUCCAUGUUUCAGUCCCACUGGAACGAGGACAUGAAGGAGGUGAUUGAAAUAGACCAGUUCUCCUACCCGGUGUACCGUUCCUUCCUCGAGUUCCUUUACACAGACAAUGUGGAGCUGCCUCCUGAGGAUGCCAUUGGACUGCUGGACCUUGCGACGUCAUACUGUGAGAACCGCCUGAAGCGUCUGUGUCAACAUAUUAUAAAGAGGGGAAUCACUGUUGAAAAUGCCUUCUCCCUGCUGUCUGCUGCUGUGCGUUACGAUGCAGAGGACUUGGAAGAGUUCUGCUUUAAGUUCUGUGUGAAUCACUUGACUGAGGUGACACAGACUGCUGCUUUCUGGCAGAUUGACGGCAACCUGCUCAAAGAUUUCAUAUGUCGAGCCAGCCGCUGUGGAGCCUUCAGAAACUGACUUUGACCCCGGAUGGUUACAGACUGAUGCAGUGACUUCUCAAAGGACUUCAUCGUUCUCUUCACGGGUGGUUACACAUAGCUUUAAUCACAGGUCGCUCUGUCUGGUAUUGGACCUACAGGCUGUUGCAACAUUGCCAUCCCAGAGUGUGUGGAUGAUGUUCAGGGAGGUUCAGAUCAGCCACCUGUUUCAUGACAUAAAUCUGUACACUGUAAUGUAGUAAAAAAAACAAUUAUGGCAGUUUGGUCCCUGGUAAAGUGAUCCGCAGUGAAUGCUUCAGGGUUCUGCUUGGGAGCUCACCUCACACUAACCACGUUAUUGUUCUGCUGGCUUUGUUUCGUGGAUACAGAUGUUGUUCUGCGAAGCUGCCAUGUUCAGCUCAGAUGCUAGCUUUGGGACGUUCACUUUAGGUUCUGUCUGUUUUUCUUUGUUUGGUGUUGAGAUAUUUUUUAGCACUGAACAAUUUUGAAGUGUGUCUCUAAAGCUGUUUGUUAUAACUGGAAAAUUAGGUUUUUUUCAAACUAAAUUUUCUGAUAAUGAUGCACAGAGGACCAUAUCAAUUUUUUGGUAUAUAUGGUUAAAUAGGUGGUUCGAAAGAUAGGAACAAUUCACUGUGUAAUUAGGUUCAUCUGUUAUUUGGAAGAUGUGUGACAAGUUGAGCAAAAAGGGUUCUGGAACAAGAAACAUACACCAACAUUUUGUUUUUUCAAUUUUAUCAGUUUCACUCUGUAACAAAUGAACACCCUGGACUCUUCUGAGUUCACUCAAACGUCCAGAUGCACAGGCAUUAUUCUCCCAUCCUGUGUUUGUCAUCACGUUUACUGUAAGUGAGAUAGUCUUUAAAUGGUUCAUCAGACCACAUACUGACAAUAAUUAAUUAUUAAUCAACAAUUAAUUAUUGAUUAAUAAUUGAUCAUUGCAAUUAAUUAUAAUUAAUAAUUAAUUAUUAUAAUUAAUUAUUAAUCAAUAAUUAAUUUGUAAAAGGACAAGGAGUGACUGUAAAUACCAUUAGUUUGAAGACAUUAUGAGGUAUUCACCAACAGAGGUCAAAACUCCCAACAAUACUUAGUCUUUGGAGCGUUUCUCUUCUCUGUGCAAAUUGGAGGUGGGUGACUUUGGGAAUGAAAUCCCUAUUCAAACUUUCACAAAACAACAGAAAUGUAUAAAACACAUUUUAAACAUAA
Scatophagus argus is the source of this 3156-nucleotide RNA transcript. It is a transcript of the gene named RCC1 and BTB domain-containing protein 1-like, with no coding region annotated. The transcript is spliced from 15 exons. The record is from RefSeq and is a predicted model, not a curated record. Lineage: Eukaryota; Metazoa; Chordata; Actinopteri; Scatophagidae.